ACUCAAAGGAAUUGACGGGGGCCCGCACAAGCAGUGGAGCAUGUGGUUUAAUUCGAUGCAACGCGAAGAACCUUACCCAGUCUGGACAUACAGAUGGCGAUAUCAGAGAUGAUAUUUUCCGCAAGGACGUCUGUACAGGUGCUGCAUGGCUGUCGUCAGCUCGUGCCGUGAGGUGUUGGGUUAAGUCCCGCAACGAGCGCAACCCUUAUCAUUAGUUGCCAACACGCAAGGUGGGGACUCUAGUGAGACUGCCUAGGUUAACUAGGAGGAAGGUGAGGAUGAUGUCAAGUCCGCAUGGCCUUUAUGACUGGGGCUACACACGUGCUACAAUGGUCGGUACAGAAGGCAGCGAAGCCGCGAGGUGGAGCAAAUCCCAAAAGCCGAUCUCAGUUCAGAUUGUAGUCUGCAACUCGACUACAUGAAGCUGGAAUUGCUAGUAAUGGCGUGUCAGCAACAACGCCGUGAAUACGUUCCCGGGCCUUGCACACACCGCCCGU
Molecule: ribosomal RNA, 497 nt
Filed under: uncultured bacterium
Lineage: Bacteria
Description: partial 16S ribosomal RNA
Rfam family: Bacterial small subunit ribosomal RNA
Source: RNAcentral